GACAUUUUCCAAUUUGCGAAGAAUCAUGUGGUCAAUGUUUUGUUUCCCAAAGGACUAUAAGAGAGAUGGCAUUUAUUGGUUGGAGAUUCUAGUUCAAUAGCACAUCAGCUUUACUUUGCUAUAUUAUCUUAGUUUGGUUGAUAAAUUAAUUCCUCACAAUUGUCACAUUUGUUGCUCACAGUUGAGAAAGCAAAAUACAUCUACAUUGUUGGCUUUUACCCUCACGGUGUCCCCUGACUGUAUUCAGCUUUUUGCUGAGCAUGCUGCUGCAAACAACAAGGUGGACUUAGACAUAUUCUCACACUAGGCUGUCUCCAUGUGAGAUUAUAAUUUGAAGGUCAAUGAAUGCCUUGCAUGAAGCAAGGUGCAUGGGCCAUAUCCGAAGGUACUAUUUUAUUCUUGUUGCACUCUGGGCUAACUACUUCGGAUCGACUAUGUUUUCGUUCUCUGAACUGUGUGUCCUGUGUGUUUUACU
Lolium rigidum is the source of this 475-nucleotide long non-coding RNA. RefSeq lists it as uncharacterized. The record is from RefSeq and is a predicted model, not a curated record. The transcript is spliced from 3 exons. NCBI's taxonomy places the organism in Eukaryota, Viridiplantae, Streptophyta, Magnoliopsida, Poales, Poaceae.